GGCGUUUGUUGUGGCUGUUGCUGCGUAGCCGCAGUGGCUACAGUGCGCGUAGCUUGGCUACAGACUGGCGUUGAGUUGUGUAAUACACCUCGAGCAUUGAAUUUUAAUGUGAAACACUAACGAGGCUAUAAUGGCGCAGUUAAAUUCGGAGUUAUGUAAGGUCAUCGACACGCUUACAUCUUCGGCAGCGGCACAUGUUAAAAAGGAGUGCAUGUCGAAACUGAAGCUAUUAUGUCGUUCGUCUGACUGUUUAUUGAGGGAAGCCUGUGACCUGCUAAAAGAAAGGCUGGAGGAAAACGAUGCCGAUGUUCGUCUAGACACGCUUGCUGUCAUUCAUGAACUGUUCACUAGGUCGCACCUAUUUCGGACGUUGAUCUUGGAAGACUUUCAGAAGAUCCUCGAACUGCUUGUCGAAACAAACCCGGACUUGCCGCUUCCUGGAACUCCAGCACAGGCCAAGAACUUAAAGACGAAAUCAUUAGAAACGAUCGAAAAGUGGAACGAGAAAUUCGGGCCCAGCUAUAAAAUACUUUCCCUUGCCGUGGAAUACUUGAAGACUUGUAAGCAGAAGGUGCAGAAAAUGGAAGAGCAGCCCGCCUGGUCUCGAAGGCUUCUUUCCGAGAUUUCUGAGCGGACACCAGAUGUGCAGCUGAUUGUCACGCAAAUAGAAAACUGCUUUCGACUAUUAGUGCCCAGUGAAGCAGAAGAAGACGCAAGCAAGGAAUCUGUAUCGGCUAUAGAUCCAUUGCCAGGAACAUCAUUAGCCGAGCGUCUUAGAGAUCAUGCAGUGCCUUUGACAUUCAGUAUGGAAAUAGAAGUGUCACGAAAGGUGAAUGUGCUGAAGACAGCAGACAAUGAAGAGGUUUUGGAUACCCUGAGACGACUUCACAAAGAGUUGAUGGAGACAUUCUUUCCAGUGGUUAAAAAGUGGCUUAAAGGUCUGGCCAAGUUUGACCACCCAAUGGAAGUAAUGAGGAACACAAUUGACCUCAAGCAUCGCAUUGAAAUUGUGCAUGAGAAGUUUGGAGAUUUAAAUGUUGGAUCUGAGGAGUCGUCUGACAGUGAACUUGAAGAGGUGCCAGAAAAAGAAGGCUUUGAACCUGUGGUUCCUGUUGCACGACGGGCGGAGUACGGUCUUGGGCCGGUAGAGAAAAAACUAAAAGUAAAGACACCAGAUAAAGCUGCUCAUCCCAAGGAACCUCAUGAACUGUCUGACCCAACCUCUAGAGAGGCACAGCUUCGAAGGCUCAACAAGUUGCUUAGCAGUGAAUGCAGCAGUAACAAUGGUAAUCCGAGUGGAAAGAUCGUGCCCAGUAUUAACAUUUCUUGCAGAGAUCUCGAGGAGGCUGGUCCAAGCACAUCGAACAAUGCUCCAGUGCGGAAUAUUGACCUAGACUUGAUUUAUUGGGAACAAGAAAAGAUUGAAAAAGAAGGAGGCAGUGGCUUCAGUGACCUGAACUGUGUCUGGAAGGGGACCUCCAAAGAUGAUAACGUGCAAGCACAGGAUUUGCCUUUCCGGGAACGGUGCAUUGAAUUUAGUGGGAAAUUUGAGCCAGUUAAGUGGACCUGCCGUGCACCACUUCCAAGUGGCAAAUUGUGUCCUCGACGUGAUCGGCUGAAGGGAUGAUCUUGGCAACCCGCGGGACUCGAGCGUAGUGCAGCCAACUCAAUGUGUUCCUGAGUGGCAAGAUCCCCAGCUGCUCCGUGACCUCGAGGCUGCCACAGGUGUCCAGCUCCAUGUAGGUCGACCAGUGCGGAAGCAGCACACCCGUCGCGGUCCAGUAAGCACUGCUAGGAUGCGCCUUGAGAAGAAAAUUUUUAACAAGCGAGCAGCGAAAAGAGUGGCUGAGUCGAUGGAUGCUGUUGACAGCAAGAAGUUCCAGGAAAAGUUUGGCCAUCAGUGGAAUUAUGCAUUAGGGACAUGAGAGAGCUAAUAAUGUUUUGUGUGAUAGGCUUCCAUGGUUGUCUCCUGUGAACUUGAAUGAAGAAUCCUGCUGCAGAGCACCUUAUGAAUUUCUAACACAUUUAGUGCUGAGCAUGACCUCAGCCCACACAUGGGUGUUUGCCAAGGCAGUCUUGCUGAGCACACUGAGCUGAAAUGCCUGGCUGGCUUUGUCCUAACAUUAGACUGACAUUUGAGAAAGCACUGCCUGGUUGAUGGAUUUUGUGCUUUGGAAUACCUAGUAAGAAGCAUGUAGCUUUGCUCAUAAGCUAAUGCACUACUGUGUCAAUGCAUUUGUUACUUUGAGCUCAGAAUAGUUGAUUCUCCAUGCAGCAAGGACAUGUCGCCAUUUUUGUGUUGUGAAUAUGUUCUUCAGUUAAAGUUUUUCAUGAGGCUUAUUGUAGUCACUUUAAAAACUAUUUGUAUAUCAUUUGAUCAAAUUUGGUCUGCCUUCUCAUUGGCAUUUGUGUUUGACCACUAUGACCUGUAUAAAGGAGGGACUACAGAAAUACUCAUGGAAACAUGUGUCGAAGAACAAGAGAUACUUAUAUUUGGUAAAGUAUGAAUGAGCCGUCUCUCUCUUGUGCUGUGUGUCAAUAAAAGCACGCUAUACGUACAUAAAUGUCAAUGAUAACAUGACAAAGCAUUCAAGCAUCAAAUCACUAUCAUCUUCUUUAUAGCCUUGUUGGUUUGGAAUGCAAUGGUUGGGUUUGUAGGAAAGUGAGUGACAUCGAAUCUCCUUUCCAUAAGAGCAUGAAAAUAAAAUGGUUUUCCAAGGUUAUAGAAUGUUUUGUCCUUGUCUUUUGAUAAGCUGUUGUAAAUCAUAGUGUUAGCAAAUAUGUCUUUUGGUGAUCAAUUUUGUUUCAUCAAAUCACUAUCAUCUUCUUUAUAGCCUUGUUGGUUUGGAAUGCAAUGGUUGGGUUUGUAGGAAAGUGAGUGACAUCGAAUCUCCUUUCCAUAAGAGUAUGAAAAUAAAAUGGUUUUCCAAGGUUA
RNAcentral lists this unclassified non-coding RNA (2935 nucleotides) under Rhipicephalus microplus (southern cattle tick). Its description in RNAcentral is "uV-stimulated scaffold protein A-like, transcript variant X1". Lineage: Eukaryota; Metazoa; Arthropoda; Arachnida; Ixodida; Ixodidae. The record is from RNAcentral.